UGGCGAAAGGGUGAGUAACACGUGGGUAAUCUGCCCCAAGGCCGGGGAUAACGUCUGGAAACGGACGCUAAUACCGGAUGUGGUCCUUAGAUCGCAUGAUCUUUGGACUAAAGGGAUACCGCCUUGGGAGGGGCCCGCGGCCUAUUAGCUUGUUGGUGGGGUAAUGGCCUACCAAGGCUUCGAUGGGUAGCCGGUUUGAGAGGAUGGUCGGCCACACUGGGACUGAGACACUGCCCAGACUCCUACGGGGGGCUGCAGUCGAGAAUAUUUGGCAAUGGGGGAAACCCUGACCAUGCGACGCCGCGUGGAGGAUGAAGGCAUUCGUGUUGUAAACUUCUGUGGUACGGGACGAACCGCGCGUCUUCGGGCGCGCCUGACGGUACCGUGCCAGAAAGCGCCAGCUAACUACGUGCCAGCAGCUGCGGUAAUACGUAGGGCGCAAGUGUUGCUCGGAUUUACUGGGCGUAAAGGGCGUCUAGGCGGCCUUUCAAGUCACGUGUGAAAUUUCUACGGCUUAACCGAGAAACUGCACGUGAUACUGUUGGGCUUGAGUGUGGUAGAGGGAAGCGGAAUUCAGGGUGUAGCGGUGAAAUGCGCAGAUAUCCUGGAGAACACCGAUGGCGUAGGCAGCUUCCUGGGCCUGCACUGACGCUGAAGCGCGAAAGCUAGGGGAGCAAACAGGAUUAGAUACCCUGGUAGUCCUAGCUGUAAACGAUGGGUGCUAA
This 725-nucleotide ribosomal RNA is filed under the name uncultured bacterium. Its description in RNAcentral is "bacterial SSU rRNA". It matches the Rfam family "Bacterial small subunit ribosomal RNA", at positions 96 to 819 of the family's 1533-position model. The record is from RNAcentral.